GACGAACGCUGGCGGCGUGCCUAAUACAUGCAAGUCGAACGAACUCUGGUAUUGAUUGGUGCUUGCAUCAUGAUUUACAUUUGAGUGAGUGGCGAACUGGUGAGUAACACGUGGGAAACCUGCCCAGAAGCGGGGGAUAACACCUGGAAACAGAUGCUAAUACCGCAUAACAACUUGGACCGCAUGGUCCGAGUUUGAAAGAGUGUCUUCGCUAUCUACGUUUGG
This 225-nucleotide ribosomal RNA is filed under the name uncultured bacterium. Its description in RNAcentral is "partial 16S ribosomal RNA". It matches the Rfam family "Bacterial small subunit ribosomal RNA", at positions 28 to 224 of the family's 1533-position model. The record is from RNAcentral.